RNAcentral lists this small RNA (2960 nucleotides) under Pongo abelii (Sumatran orangutan). RNAcentral's name for it is "retained intron". The record is from RNAcentral. Lineage: Eukaryota; Metazoa; Chordata; Mammalia; Primates; Hominidae.
GGGAAGGGUCUUAGGACCCAGGAAGGAGACCGGUGCCUCCCGGAGAGGACCCCAUCCCCUCCGAGGUCCGGGCGGCCCCCGGCCUCUCCCUGGGGUGCCGUAGCCCCCCUCGACCCGCCUUCCCGCAGCCGCAGUCGUUCGGGCCUGGAGGUGGCCGGGCAUCGGUGCUGACGCCGCGAGGGCAGCGCCCGCGGCGGGAAUGCUAAUGCACCCUAAAGGGCACGGCCGCCGCCGCAGCAGCAGAUACUUUCUGAGUGCCUACUAUGUGCCAGCCUGUGCUAGGCACUGAGGACACAGGUGGAAAAGCCCGAAUUGCUCCCUGCUCUCCUGGCGCUCAUCACCCCGGAGAGUUAUGUCAUGCCCAGGCCAGCAGGGGGCUCCAUGAGGAUUCAUAGAAGAUGCCCCGCGUCUCGGCGCCUUUGGUGCUGCUUCCUGCGUGGCUCGUGAUGGUCGCCUGCAGCCCGCACUCCUUGAGGAUCGCUGCUAUCUUGGACGACCCCAUGGAGUGCAGCAGAGGGGAGCGGCUCUCCAUCACCCUGGCCAAGAACCGCAUCAACCGCGCUCCUGAGAGGCUGGGCAAGGCCAAGGUCGAAGUGGACAUCUUUGAGCUUCUCAGAGACAGCGAGUAUGAGACUGCAGAAACCAUGUGUCAGAUCCUCCCCAAGGGGGUGGUCGCUGUCCUCGGGCCAUCGUCCAGCCCAGCCUCCAGCUCCAUCAUCAGCAACAUCUGUGGAGAGAAGGAGGUGCCUCACUUCAAAGUGGCCCCAGAGGAGUUCGUCAAGUUCCAGUUCCAGAGAUUCACAACCCUGAACCUCCACCCCAGCAACACCGACAUCAGCGUGGCUGUAGCUGGGAUCCUGAACUUCUUCAACUGCACUACCGCCUGCCUCAUCUGUGCCAAAGCAGAAUGCCUUUUAAACCUAGAGAAGCUGCUCCGGCAAUUUCUUAUCUCCAAGGACACGCUGUCCGUCCGCAUGCUGGAUGACACCCGGGACCCCACCCCGCUCCUCAAGGAGAUCCGGGACGACAAGACCGCCACCAUCAUCAUCCACGCCAACGCCUCCAUGUCCCACACCAUCCUCCUGAAGGCAGCCGAACUUGGGAUGGCGUCAGCCUAUUACACAUACAUCUUCACUAAUCUGGAGUUCUCACUCCAGAGAAUGGACAGCCUUGUGGAUGAUCGUGUCAACAUCCUGGGAUUUUCCAUUUUCAACCAAUCCCAUGCUUUCUUCCAAGAGUUUGCCCAGAGCCUCAACCAGUCCUGGCAGGAGAACUGUGACCAUGUGCCCUUCACUGGGCCUGCGCUCUCCUCGGCCCUGCUGUUUGAUGCUGUCUAUGCUGUGCUGACUGCGGUGCAGGAACUGAACCGGAGCCAAGAGAUCGGCGUGAAGCCCCUGUCCUGCGGCUCGGCCCAGAUCUGGCAGCACGGCACCAGUCUCAUGAACUACCUGCGCAUGGUAGAAUUGGAAGGUCUUACCGGCCACAUUGAAUUCAACAGCAAAGGCCAGAGGUCCAACUAUGCCUUGAAAAUCUUACAGUUCACAAGGAAUGGUUUUCGGCAGAUCGGCCAGUGGCACGUGGCAGAGGGCCUCAGCAUGGACAGCCACCUCUAUGCAUCCAACAUCUCAGACACUCUCUUCAACACCACCCUGGUCGUCACCACCAUCCUGGAAAACCCAUAUUUAAUGCUGAAGGGGAACCACCAGGAGAUGGAAGGCAAUGACCGCUACGAGGGCUUCUGUGUGGACAUGCUCAAGGAGCUGGCAGAGAUCCUCCGAUUCAACUACAAGAUCCGCCUGGUUGGGGAUGGCGUGUACGGCGUUCCCGAGGCCAACGGCACCUGGACGGGAAUGGUCGGGGAGCUGAUCGCUAGGAAAGCAGAUCUGGCUGUGGCAGGCCUCACCAUUACAGCUGAACGGGAGAAGGUGAUUGAUUUCUCUAAGCCAUUCAUGACUCUGGGAAUUAGCAUUCUUUACCGCGUUCAUAUGGGACGCAAACCCGGCUAUUUCUCCUUCCUGGACCCAUUUUCUCCGGGCGUCUGGCUCUUCAUGCUUCUAGCCUAUCUGGCCGUCAGCUGUGUCCUCUUCCUGGUGGCCCGGUUGACGCCCUACGAGUGGUACAGCCCACACCCAUGUGCCCAGGGCCGGUGCAACCUCCUGGUGAACCAGUACUCCCUGGGCAACAGCCUCUGGUUUCCGGUCGGGGGGUUCAUGCAGCAGGGCUCCACCAUCGCCCCUCGCGCCUUAUCCACCCGCUGUGUCAGUGGCGUCUGGUGGGCAUUCACGCUGAUCAUCAUCUCAUCCUACACGGCCAACCUGGCAGCCUUCCUGACCGUGCAGCGCAUGGAUGUGCCCAUUGAGUCAGUGGAUGACCUGGCUGACCAGACCGCCAUUGAAUAUGGCACAAUUCACGGAGGCUCCAGCAUGACCUUCUUCCAAAAUUCCCGCUACCAGACCUACCAACGCAUGUGGAAUUACAUGUAUUCCAAGCAGCCCAGCGUGUUCGUGAAGAGCACAGAGGAGGGAAUCGCCAGGGUGUUGAAUUCCAACUACGCCUUCCUCCUGGAAUCCACCAUGAACGAGUACUAUCGGCAGCGAAACUGCAACCUCACUCAGAUUGGGGGCCUGCUGGACACCAAGGGCUAUGGGAUUGGCAUGCCAGUCGGUAGGCGGGAGAGGAACAGCCUCUUGGGGUAGCUUUGUCCAGACAGGGUCAGGGUAGUUCAAACCACUGAAUGCAGCAUUGAAUCCAGUACCCCCUGUUGUUAGAACCAGUUUAACAGUGACUUUAGGUGGGCAUUCUAAAGUUUUUUUUUUUUUUUAAAGCAAACACACAUAUUUCCUUUAAUCAAUGACCAGUGCUCAAUCCUUGAUUAUUAAAGAGCUAGUUGAUUAGUUACUGAUUGAUUAAUUGACUAAUUUAAAGGGCUAAUAGUAAUUAUUAAAGGGCAUGUUAAUGUC